This is a long non-coding RNA of Culex quinquefasciatus (southern house mosquito), 264 nucleotides long. RefSeq lists it as uncharacterized. Lineage: Eukaryota; Metazoa; Arthropoda; Insecta; Diptera; Culicidae. The record is from RefSeq and is a predicted model, not a curated record. The transcript has 2 exons.
ACCAAACCAAUGCAGUAAGUCUCCACAAUACGAAUCCACACACUCCCGAUCAAAAAUAUCGACCAAUGAACAAACAUUCAAUUUUCAUAGUUUUCUCGACGCCACAAAACCGACAUUUUACAAAUUUUACAAAACUGAACCAAGACAACCGAACACCUACGUACGAUUUCCCUGAAGAUGAUUUAAUAAAAAUCGAAACGUCGGAUAAAGUACACAAAUAAGUGUUUGAGCUGCUUCCAACGACUGCAAGCCGAAAAUCCAUCU